GUCCCGGUUUAAGCGUGUAGGUGUGUGUUCCAGGUAAAUCCGGUUCACUUUAACACUGAGGCGUGAUGACGAGGCACUACGGUGCUGAAGCAACAAAUGCCCUGCUUCCAGGAAAAGCCUCUAAGCAUCAGGUAACAUCAAAUCGUACCCCAAACCGACACAGGUGGUCAGGUAGAGAAUACCAAGGCGCUUGAGAGAACUCGGGUGAAGGAACUAGGCAAAAUGGUGCCGUAACUUCGGGAGAAGGCACGCUGACACGUAGGUGAAGUGAUUUACUCAUGGAGCUGAAGUCAGUCGAAGAUACCAGCUGGCUGCAACUGUUUAUUAAAAACACAGCACUGUGCAAACACGAAAGUGGACGUAUACGGUGUGACGCCUGCCCGGUGCCGGAAGGUUAAUUGAUGGGGUCAGCGCAAGCGAAGCUCCUGAUCGAAGCCCCGGUAAACGGCGGCCGUAACUAUAACGGUCCUAAGGUAGCGAAAUUCCUUGUCGGGUAAGUUCCGACCUGCACGAAUGGCGUAAUGAUGGCCAGGCUGUCUCCACCCGAGACUCAGUGAAAUUGAACUCGCUGUGAAGAUGCAGUGUACCCGCGGCAAGACGGAAAGACCCCGUGAACCUUUACUAUAGCUUGACACUGAACAUUGAGCCUUGAUGUGUAGGAUAGGUGGGAGGCUUUGAAGUGUGGACGCCAGUCUGCAUGGAGCCGGCCUUGAAAUACCACCCUUUAAUGUUUGAUGUUCUAACGUGGACCCGUGAUCCGGGUUGCGGACAGUGUCUGGUGGGUAGUUUGACUGGGGCGGUCUCCUCCUAAAGAGUAACGGAGGAGCACGAAGGUUGGCUAAUCCUGGUCGGACAUCAGGAGGUUAGUGCAAUGGCAUAAGCCAGCUUGACUGCGAGCGUGACGGCGCGAGCAGGUGCGAAAGCAGGUCAUAGUGAUCCGGUGGUUCUGAAUGGAAGGGCCAUCGCUCAACGGAUAAAAGGUACUCCGGGGAUAACAGGCUGAUACCGCCCAAGAGUUCAUAUCGACGGCGGUGUUUGGCACCUCGAUGUCGGCUCAUCACAUCCUGGGGCUGAAGUAGGUCCCAAGGGUAUGGCUGUUCGCCAUUUAAAGUGGUACGCGAGCUGGGUUUAGAACGUCGUGAGACAGUUCGGUCCCUAUCUGCCGUGGGCGCUGGAGAACUGAGGGGGGCUGCUCCUAGUACGAGAGGACCGGAGUGGACGCAUCACUGGUGUUCGGGUUGUCAUGCCAAUGGCACUGCCCGGUAGCUAAAUGCGGAAGAGAUAAGUGCUGAAAGCAUCUAAGCACGAAACUUGCCCCGAGAUGAGUUCUCCCUGAGACUUUAGGUCUCCUGAAGGAACGUUGAAGACGACGACGUUGAUAGGCCGGGUGUGUAAGCGCAGCGAUGCGUUGAGCUAACCGGUACUAAUGAACCGUGAGGCUUAACCUUACA
This 1451-nucleotide ribosomal RNA is filed under the name Salmonella enterica. RNAcentral describes it as "partial 23S ribosomal RNA". It matches the Rfam family "Bacterial large subunit ribosomal RNA", at positions 1504 to 2925 of the family's 2925-position model. Lineage: Bacteria; Pseudomonadati; Pseudomonadota; Gammaproteobacteria; Enterobacterales; Enterobacteriaceae. The record is from RNAcentral.